GAUGAACGCUGGCGGCGUGCCUAAUACAUGCAAGUCGAGCGAACAGAUGAGGAGCUUGCUCCUCUGACGUUAGCGGCGGACGGGUGAGUAACACGUGGAUAACCUACCUAUAAGACUGGGAUAACUUCGGGAAACCGGAGCUAAUACCGGAUAAUAUAUUGAACCGCAUGGUUCAAUAGUGAAAGACGGUUUUGCUGUCACUUAUAGAUGGAUCCGCGCCGCAUUAGCUAGUUGGUAAGGUAACGGCUUACCAAGGCAACGAUGCGUAGCCGACCUGAGAGGGUGAUCGGCCGCACUGGAACUGAGACACGGUCCAGACUCCUACGGGAGGCAGCAGUAGGGAAUCUUCCGCAAUGGGCGAAAGCCUGACGGAGCAACGCCGCGUGAGUGAUGAAGGUCUUCGGAUCGUAAAACUCUGUUAUUAGGGAAGAACAAAUGUGUAAGUAACUAUGCACGUCUUGACGGUACCUAAUCAGAAAGCCACGGCUAACUACGUG
This 497-nucleotide ribosomal RNA is filed under the name uncultured bacterium. RNAcentral's name for it is "partial 16S ribosomal RNA". It matches the Rfam family "Bacterial small subunit ribosomal RNA", at positions 28 to 507 of the family's 1533-position model. The record is from RNAcentral.